UUUUAAAGGGCCGACAGACCAUCGUAAAAAAUCUGCACACCGUAAUGGAAAGCGUGUCUUCAAGAUGAUAAAAGAUGUAAAUGUAGUCUUUGGAAAGGGUCAUGGUAGACAACAUGUUCCGAACAACGAUAACGGACGUGCACCCAUGUGGAAGAAAAAGUCCAUAUUUUGGGAGCUACCUUAUUGGAAAAUCUUAAAGGUUCGCAACGCAAUAGACGUGAUGCACCUGACGGAUAAUCUUUGCGUGAACAUGCUAGGCUUUAUGGGUGUUUAUGGGACCUCGAAAGAUACAAUGGAAACAUCCGAAAAAGAGAGAUAACGGACAGCACUACUUACGUCCUGCCAAUUACAAUCUCAGCAAGAAAGAGAAGGAUAGGAUGUUUGAAUGUUUGAAUAAUAUGAAGGUCCUGUCUAGGUACUCCUCGAAUAUAAAGAGAAUAAUCAAUAUGAAACAAAAGAAGUUUACAAAUCUCAAGGCUCAUGACUGCCACAUGUUGAUGACCUAGUUGCUUCCGGUUGCACUGAUUAUUGCUGGUGAUGGUAGUGGCUCCAACCUUGCCAUAUCAUACACCGAUGAAGAGGGCACCCAGGCAGACAUGUUCCUCAACAUGUCCAAUGAUGGGAAUGAAGAGCCCGAGCCCAAGCAAAACCUUGCCGUGGCGGAAGGUUUCGGCGAGGUAUAUAUAAUUUAUAUUAUUUUACGCUACCGUUAAUGCUAUGUACUAAUUAACGAAUCUUGAACUGUUAGCCCUCUGGAUCAACAAAAGGGUAGAAGACCCGAGGUCGUACAAGGGUGAUGGAAGGGAGGCUUGUCAUCACGGAAGUCACGGAAGAGGGCAUGCCGGUUGCUCCUGAAAAAGUAGCAAAGAAGUACAUAAGUCAGAUCGGGGCAAUCGUAAGGGACAACAUGCCUAUCAGCAUCAGGGAAUAGAAGGGCAAAAGCACUAAUCCAUACGCGCUCCCGGAGACACAAAAGAAUAUGCUGUGGGAAGAUGUCAAGAGACAUUUCACAUUUCCUGAAGGAUAUAUUGAAAAGGAUGUGAAAGCAUUGACGCUGAAGAAGAUGGCUAAACAAUUCUAGACAUUAAGAAGAUGCUGGAUGCCAACUACCUUAAGAAGGGUCGAACUCCAGAUUUCAAUGUGCGGCCAAAGUUGAGGGACCACUGGGAGGCAUUUGUUGAAUAUAAGAGGAGUGAAGACGGUGUGAAAAAGAUCCAGACCAACACUACAAAUUAUGGUCAGAAGGAGUACCAUCAUCAUCUAGGGCGAGGUGGUUAUGGCACAGCAAUUCCCAAAUGGAAGAAGAUGGAACAAGACCUGAUCGAACAGGGUAUGGUACUUGCAACUAUUGAUUGGCCCGAAUGAUCAAAAAAUUGGUAUUACGCUCAUGGAGGCUCCUUGAGCCAAGAGGAUGGGACAUUGAUUUCAAUGAGACAAUAUGUCAGAAGGCCGAAAGGCUUAUAAAGAACAUUGAACAUUCUAAGGCUACGAGGUUGAAGGUGGACUGAGAGAAUGAUGAGCUCACAUUGGCCCUCGGUAAUCCCGAGCACCCAGGACAUUUCCGAGGGUUCGGGGUCAUUCCGUGGAAGUUUGCAUUCCGAAGUGAUAGCGUAUCGUACAGAAGCCGCAAGUGAAGAAAAGAAUAUAUCGAGGAGAGCUAGCGGCAGAUGCUAGAAUCCAAAGUGUAGUCACAAGAAAAAAGAAUGUUGGAGGAAAGCAAUUGUCAAGUGGCCCACGCAGUUGCGGAGUUGGCCCAAUCUGGAGCAUUGUCGAAUCCAAACUACGCCAGCCCUUCUCAAUGCCUCUUGAGCAGUUGUGCUUCUACAGGGCUCCCCGAUGCGCAGACGCCCAGGUUACCCGUGGAGGAGCAACAGUUCACUAUGGAUGCCAUCACGCAAUGCACCUCAUGUGAGCUGCAUGCACCGGUCGGCAACCUCACUAUUAAGGUAUACUUAUACAUAAUAUUUAUGCAAUCUUCUCAAAUGAUCCACGCCUCGGGAUCGGAGUUUAAUAACUUGUUUACUUCGGCUAUAUGUACAGGUGGCGUACGGGAGUGCGUUACCAAUCCUAGCAGGGUAGACAAGCCAUGGAAUGGAGAUUCCACCUGGCUACGCCAGCGUCAGCGUAGAGCAGCUUGUUGAUAGCCAAUAUGAAGGCCUAGAGCUUGACCUUCCAGGAGGCGACGGGGAAAGGACACUGGCAGAUGCGUUUCAUGGGAUCAUUCUAUGGUGCAAACGCUACAUCAUUAUUCCCGACACGGAGCCAUCUCCUCAAAGCUCAAGACCGCUCCCCAUAAAUCCCCAACAACGACCUUCUCGUCAUAGCUCGAGACCAUCAUCUCCUGCACAACCUGCUCCAGGACUGUCGUUUCCUGCUCGAUUAAGGUCUCCAUCUCCACCACAUCCUGGUGGUGGGAGCGACAACAAAAAUAACAACACCCCUCCCCGAUCACCGUCGUCGGGACUAAGAGCAGCCCCGAUGAAGGAACUUGCAGCACCACUAAAGAAGUCACGAGCAUCGCCUCCCAAGCAAAGACAAAGAAAGAAAAAAAACAAAGGAGCCUGAAGUGACGCGUAAGGAACGCUGGGAGGCAAUGAGUCAUGCAAAACAAUGGGCAGAAAAAUCCAAGCAGAGGCUAAUGCGUGGUUCAAGAAACAAGCCGAAGAAAAAAAGCAAGGGAGAUGGAGCCACCGCCAGUAAAUCGAAGAGAUUUUAAUUUUUUUAUCAGAAUGGAAGAAGGAGCCAAGAAAAGGAUACCACUACUAUCAAACUACGAAUGGGCUUUAGUAAAGGCUGAUGAGAGGGACAAAAGGAAAGGAAAGUCAUCUUCCAGUGGUAUUGUUCCCGUCCUCGGGCAUCUAUCAAAAAAAGAUGCUCAAAAGAUAGCACCAAUGCCCUUGGAUCAACAAGCACAACUAUUGAAAUUCAUGGAAGAAACAGGUAUUGGACUUAAUGAAUGUUUAGGGCAAGUUGAGCCACCAACUGCACCGCCAGUUCAAUCGAGAUGGACUUUUGAGCAAGGAAAAUCUGAACGAAUUCCAUCAAUGGUACAUGAAGGUGUCCACCAACUCGAGGGAGAUGUUUGGCCGUAAGGUAAAACCAAUAGAUUUUUACGGCGAAGACGAGAAAGUUCUGUAGCUAGAUUUGAAGGAUAUAUACGAAGUGUACCAUCAUGAUGCCCUGGACGUCUCUCUGAUCAGUGCCUGGGUUCUGUAAGUGUCCGUUUAUCUACAUGUAAAUUUUGGCUCAUAUCAUUAUUUUUUUUGCAUGAGUCACCGUACUAACUUUGUCUUCCAUUUUAUCUAGGAUGCUAAUUCAGACGUGCUGACGAGAGGCGUACCUACAUAUUGGCUUCAUGGAUCCAUCCGUAGUUAUCCAAAAACAGAUACAAUUAUCACCGAAAAAAACCUCGGUGGAAGUAUAUAAUUUUCUAGACAAACAAAAAUUCAAGGAUUUUAUACUACUUCCAUACAACUUCAAGUAAGUGUGUGUAUACCUUCUACUUUCAUUUUCUUUUUCCUUACCUGAUUAAAGUUAGUUAGCUCUAAUAUGCAUGAACAUUUUACGUACGCAGCUUCCACUGGAUCCUCAUUAUAAUUGAGCCUGAAAGAAACCAUGUCACUGUCUUCGAUUCAUUGAGGAAAGAUCCGGUGGAGUACCAAGACAUGCAAGACAUGCUAGGCGUGUAAUAAUUUUGGACCUUUAUCUCUAUGCAAAAGUUUAUUUCCUAAAUUUUAUCCCUGUUACACUAUAUCAUUCAUUAUUCUAAUCCGCAGCGCAUGGAAACAAUUCAUAAGGACACACAAAGGUCCAUUCAAAGAAAAACUUACAUGGAACACAGACUUCUUAGUACGUAUGAAGUCUGCACAUUUAGUAUAUUGUAUAACACGAAUAUUUCAUAUCAUAUUUUUUUCCGCACUGAAGUGCUGAAGAUAGGAACCCGGGAAUAAUCUAUGUGGCUACUACAUCUGUGAGCACAUGCGCAGUUUUAUAGGACCCAAGGGACUAAAGAUGACGCCACACAACUUUAAAGUACGUAAAAUAAAACUAUUACUAGUUAAUUAUUUUCUAGCUCCUUAUAUUUAAUUGUUCGUGUAACAUUCACAUAUUUCCAAAUUAUAGAUGCUAAAUAUUCAACAAGGACUCUUGAAGAAAGAAGUAGCGGCAAUAUGUGAAGGUCUCAUUGGAUUCCUAAUGGACGAGGUGGUAAAUCCACAAGGAGAAUUUUAUUACAAUGGAAGACAUUUAGACACUUCGAGCAACACCUCGACGGGAAGAUUGUAGAUAUAUAGUUUGAUUUGUAUAUAUAAUACGCACUAAGAUCGAUUUGUAUAUAUAGUUGAUUUCAUUAUACUAGUUGACUUGUGUAUAUAUAUAGUAAUUGUAUAAUUACUAAUUUCAUUUGUUUAAAUACUAGUUGAUUUCAUUAAAAAAAGUCUCAACUACUAAAGGUUAACAAAAGGGCUGCGGUACGUACGUGAUGCAUGAAAAUUUCAGGCGCCAUGCAGGAAAAUUUAAGUAGGACUUUAGUCCCGGUUGGGAAACCCAACCGGGACUAAAACCAACUGGGAUUAAAGGGUGACUUUACUCCCGGUUGAAGGUUCCGGGACUAAAGACCCCCCUUUUGUCUCGAUUGGUUUAUCUGGGAUGGAUUUUCGGGAGAUAUGCACGCUAUCAACCGGAACUAAAAGCGAGUUCUCUAUUAAUGUUAGUACUCUCUGCAGGGUCAGGUACAGUACAGUGGGCCUAUAUAUAUAACCUAUCAGCCCAAAAAUACACAACAAUGGCCACAGCAAGCUACCCGGUCCCCUAUAGUGUUUUUUUAGCAUAUUUAGACCUCUCCUUCAACAAUCUCUGUGAUUAAUUGUUCAUAUACCAUUCACAUAUUUCCAAAUUAUAGAUGUUAAAUAUUCAACAAGGCCUCUUGAAGAAAGAAAGAGUAGCGGCAAUAUAUGAAGGUCUCAUUGGAUUCCUAAUGGACGAGGUGGUAGAUCCACAAGGAGAAUUUUAUUACAAUGGACGACAUUUAGACGCUCCGAGCAACACCUCGACGGGAAGAUUGUAGAUAUAUAGUUUGAUUUGUAUAUAUAAUACGCGCUAAGAUCGAUUUGUAUAUAUAGUUGAUUUCAUUAUACUAGUUGAAUUGUGUAUAUGAAUUGUGUAUAUAUAUAGUAAUUGUAUAAUUACUAAUUUCAUUUGUUUAAAUACUACUUGAUUUCAUUAUAAAAAAAGUCUCAACUACUGAAGGUUAACAAAAGGGCCGCGGUGCGUACAUGAUGCAGGAAAAUUUCAGGCGCCAUGCAGGAAAAUUUAAGUAGGACUUUAGUCCCGACUGGGGAACCCUUUAGUCCCGGUUGGGUUUCCCAAUCAGGAGUAAAGGGGCACCCUUUACACCCGGUUGCUUUUACUAACCGGGAGUAAAGGGCCUAUCCCGCGCCUAGCGUGGCAGGCCCUUUAGUCCCGGUUGUUUCACCAACCAGGACUAAAGGGUGACUUUACUCCCGGUUGAAGGACCCGGGACUAAAGAUCCCCCUUUUGUCUCGAUUGGUUUAUCCCGGAUGGAUUUUCGGUAGAUAUGCACCCUACCAACCGGGACUAAAGGCGAGUUAUGUACUAGUGUUAGUACUCUCUCCAGGGUCACGUACAGUACAGUGGGCCUAUAUAAAUAACCUAUCAGCCCAAAAAUACACAACAAUGGUCACUGCAAGCUACCCGGUCCCCUAUAGUGUUUUUUUAGCAUAUUUAGACCUCUCCUUCAACAAUCUCUGUGGUACUAUUCCUAACUUCCUGGCAAAUUUCACCGACUUGACGAACUUAAAUGUUUGCUUCAAACUUAUUGAAGGAAAGUGAAGGACCGGACAGGUGACCAGAGAUGGUGAAUGGGAACCUUUAAAAAUUCUCUCUCUCCAAGAACAAAGCCUAUAUCCCGAUUGCCACCCCAAACACACCUCGCUCCUAAUCGCUAAGAUGACACAAGUCAACUUGAGACAAGUUCACCAAGAAACGAUUAGAAAAGCUAAAAGCGUAGCAGAAGCAAAGACGAUUAAGCUUGGAAGAAACUACACUUAAAAAGCUUGCUUGCCAAAUCACUAAUCAACCAGGCAAGAAAUUAAAAAGCUAGGCUUACUAGUGAUAGCAGCGAAGAGCUAUAUGUCGGCACAAGCAUAUAUGUGCCCAUGCUAGUAAACUAGGCUUACUAGGCUUACUAGUGAUAGCAGCCAAAAGCUAUAUGUCAUGAAGAAUUGCUGUUCCAAGGGGACGCUCCACCCUUCUGCAUGCAUGCCGUGCCCAUGCCGCCAGCUGCUCGCGCUCCUCCUCGCAGCGAUUUGAGCCUAGCUCAGCUGGAAAGAUUGUUUGUGGUGGGACUAAAUUAUUGCAAUAUUUAAUCAAUACUAUCUUUUCAGCAAUAGAUGAUGUGCCCGUCGACAGUUUCGUAAAAAGAAAAUAUGUGAGUGCCUUGGUGUGAAGCGAAAACAUAUCAAAAACAUACCUUGAGAAGAGUAGGGUGAAACGAUGCAACAGCGGAGGUGUAAAUGGAAACUUUGUUCUACCUGUCUCACGUAAUUAGAAUAGUCGAAUGUUAAUGAAAUUGAUUACUGUCUCUAGUUUUGGAGAUGUCAUCUCCUCCUUUCUCCCUCCUCCUGCCCGCCCAUGCCGCCGGAUGCUCGCUCGUCCUCGCGCCACUGCUCGAUCAUCUUUGCAUCGUCCUUGUCCACUGCUCUUAGUCCACGACGACUUCCACGUCCUCGUCCGUCCCCAAGCUUAUAAAUUGAUUGUCCACCGGGCUACUUCAAUAAUUAAUAUUCCGAUGCAUGUUAGGUCUAUUAGUCUAUGUCCACGUCAGUCAUCACUCAUCACCACCCGUUUGAAUGUGGAUAAGGCACCAACUAA
This 6891-nucleotide long non-coding RNA is filed under the name Setaria italica (foxtail millet). Its description in RNAcentral is "long non-coding RNA (SITA_LNC006333)". Lineage: Eukaryota; Viridiplantae; Streptophyta; Magnoliopsida; Poales; Poaceae. The record is from RNAcentral.